Molecule: long non-coding RNA, 230 nt
Organism: Bombus impatiens (common eastern bumble bee)
Lineage: Eukaryota; Metazoa; Arthropoda; Insecta; Hymenoptera; Apidae
Exons: 3
Source: RefSeq, a predicted model, not a curated record
AUUCUAUCAUAUAUAAUUAUAAAUGAUUAUUAACCCUUAGAGUGCUAUGGACGCAUAUAUGCGUUUGGCGAAAGCUAUCGGUGUGGACUAAAGACACACAUAUGCGUUUUCUGUAAAUGUUCGGCAUGGACUAAGGACGCAUAUAUGCGUUUGUCAAUUUUUCCGAACACCUACGCAGAAGUAAUACCAUUACGUUUGUGUGAGAUAAAUAUAAAUGCAUUCCUUAUAUA